GCUCGUGUUGUGAAAUGUUGGGUUAAGUCCCGCAACGAGCGCAACCCUUAUCCUUUGUUGCCAGCGGUUAGGCCGGGAACUCAAAGGAGACUGCCAGUGAUAAACUGGAGGAAGGUGGGGAUGACGUCAAGUCAUCAUGGCCCUUACGACCAGGGCUACACACGUGCUACAAUGGCGCAUACAAAGAGAAGCGACCUCGCGAGAGCAAGCGGACCUCAUAAAGUGCGUCGUAGUCCGGAUUGGAGUCUGCAACUCGACUCCAUGAAGUCGGAAUCGCUAGUAAUCGUGGAUCAGAAUGCCACGGUGAAUACGUUCCCGGGCCUUGUACACACCGCCCGUCACACCAUGGGAGUGGGUUGCAAAAGAAGUAGGUAGCUUAACCUUCGGGAGGGCGCUUACCACUUUGUGAUUCAUGACUGGGGUGAAGUCGUAACAAGGUAACCGUAGGGGAACCUGC
RNAcentral lists this ribosomal RNA (457 nucleotides) under Salmonella enterica subsp. enterica serovar Agona. Its description in RNAcentral is "bacterial SSU rRNA". It matches the Rfam family "Bacterial small subunit ribosomal RNA", at positions 1058 to 1515 of the family's 1533-position model. Lineage: Bacteria; Pseudomonadati; Pseudomonadota; Gammaproteobacteria; Enterobacterales; Enterobacteriaceae. The record is from RNAcentral.